This 253-nucleotide ribosomal RNA is filed under the name uncultured bacterium. Its description in RNAcentral is "partial 16S ribosomal RNA". It matches the Rfam family "Bacterial small subunit ribosomal RNA", at positions 524 to 776 of the family's 1533-position model. The record is from RNAcentral.
UACGAAGGUCCCGAGCGUUAUCCGGAUUUAUUGGGCGUAAAGAGCGCGUAGGCGGAUUGUUAAGUCAGAUGUGAAAUCCGGGGGCUCAACCCGCGGUCUGCAUCUGAAACUGGCAGUCUUGAGUCUGGUAGAGGAAAGUGGAAUUCCCAGUGUAGCGGUGAAAUGCGCAGAUAUUGGGAGGAACACCAGUGGCGAAGGCGGCUUUCUGGGCCACGACUGACGCUGAGGCGCGAAAGCUAGGGGAGCAAACAGG